UCCAUUGCUCAGUUGGUAAAGCAAAAAGCUCUUAACCUUGUGGACAUGGGUUCAAGCCCUAUGAUGGAA
Triticum urartu is the source of this 69-nucleotide non-coding RNA. The record is from Rfam. NCBI's taxonomy places the organism in Eukaryota, Viridiplantae, Streptophyta, Magnoliopsida, Poales, Poaceae.